This 369-nucleotide unclassified non-coding RNA is filed under the name soil metagenome. RNAcentral's name for it is "partial contains 5.8S ribosomal RNA, internal transcribed spacer 2, and large subunit ribosomal RNA". The stretch from base 1 to 120 matches the Rfam family "5.8S ribosomal RNA", at positions 35 to 154 of the family's 154-position model. The record is from RNAcentral.
GAUGAAGAACGUAGCGAAAUGCGAUAAGUAAUGUGAAUUGCAGAAUUCAGUGAAUCAUCGAAUCUUUGAACGCACAUUGCGCCCGCCAGCAUUCUGGCGGGCAUGCCUGUUCGUGCGUCAUUUCAACCCUCGAGCCCGACUUCCUUGCGGAGGACGGCUCGGCGUUGGGGGACGGCACACUCCCCCCGGCUCGCCGGGGACGCCGCCCCCGAAAUUCAGUGGCGGCCCUCGGAGGCGACCUCUGCGUAGUAACUCAACCUCGCAAAGGGAAGCUCCGAGCGGCCACGCCGUGAAACCCCAACUAUAUCAAGGUUGACCUCGAAUCAGGUAGGACUACCCGCUGAACUUAAGCAUAUCAAUAACGGAGGA